RNAcentral lists this long non-coding RNA (1085 nucleotides) under Phascolarctos cinereus (koala). RNAcentral describes it as "lncRNA (ENSPCIG00000035822.1)". The record is from RNAcentral. Lineage: Eukaryota; Metazoa; Chordata; Mammalia; Diprotodontia; Phascolarctidae.
UAGGGACCAGAUUUGAGCUUCCUGCCACAACUCCCAGUGGGGCCGCUUCCCACCUUCACCAGCUCCAGUCUCCUCAGAUUCCCUACCCCAGGGCCCCUUCCCCUCUCCAAGAUUUUUUGCCUUUGUCCCAGUCACUGCCCCCAGACCCUGCUGCAGACUCAGCCUCUCUCUUCUUUGGAGCCAUGCAGGCGUUGCCUGGGACCCCUCAGGCCCUUCAAUGCCAGAAUCAAGGCUAAGCCGUUCCUUCUCAGGGCCUGGCCCUUCCCAGUGCUAAGGCUGGCCACCCCUCUGCUCUCUUCUCAUCCUCCUCUGCCCCCUCCCCCUCCCCUUCCCACUUGCCCCCUCCUGUAGGACCCUCUCAGAUCACUGGCCCUCUGCCUGACACCAACCAGCAGCUCCAGCAGAAUGAGGAGCUGCCGCUUAGGGUCACCUUGGCCCACUAUCGCUUGGGCCUGGGUUGGAGAAACAACUUCCAAGCCUAUUGGCUCUUCCAGAUAGCCUUGUCCUCCCAGCAAGGGGUAGCCGAGUGUGGCAUGCCGCAGGGCUUUGCAGCUCAGUGCCCCAACUGCUCGGAGGCAGAGGAAGACUUACCCUCCAAGCUGUUCUACCUCUCUGCCAUCUGCCUUGUCCACCAGGAUGACUCUGUCCUAAGGCCUGCUUCUAGGAUUAGUGAGCCCAUAGAAACCUCACCGUUUCUUGAGGGGGGCCUACCCAUGCUGCUCCCUACCAUUGUACUCACUCUCCAGACUGCUCCACCCAGGGGUGUGCUGGGAAAUGUUGAACCGCUUCUGAGGAAGAUGAAAAAACAAUCCCAUUCCCAUGACACACUUUGAAGUUUAAUAUACAUUAUUGACAUUUUCCCCAUCACUUUCCUUUUCUUUUUUUUUUUUUGGAAGAUCAAUGGGUUUUUUUCCUUUUUGAAAUUUGAAUGAAUCAGCCAAAAUCUACUUUCUCACACACAUAUCCCAUAUUCUUCCCCCAACUGAGAACAUGAGAAAAACAAAACCCAUUACAUACUUGUAUAGUCACUCCAAACAGCUUUCUACAUCAAUAAAGUCCAAAACUAACAUGUCUGAUUCUUCCGA